This 494-nucleotide ribosomal RNA is filed under the name uncultured bacterium. RNAcentral describes it as "partial 16S ribosomal RNA". It matches the Rfam family "Bacterial small subunit ribosomal RNA", at positions 28 to 507 of the family's 1533-position model. The record is from RNAcentral.
GACGAACGCUGGCGGUGUGCUUAACACAUGCAAGUCGAACGGAAAGGCCUGUCCUUCCUUGUGUUGGACGGGUACUCGAGUGGCGAACGGGUGAGUAACACGUGAGUGAUCUGCCCCCAACUUGGGUAUAAGCCUGGGAAACUGGGUCUAAUUCCCGAUAGGACUGCAGGGUGGUGCCUGUGGUGGAAAACGAUUUUCUAGUGGUUGGGGAUGAGCUCGCGGCCUAUCAGCUUGUUGGUGGGGUAAUGGCCUACCAAGGCGGCGACGGGUAGCCGGCCUGAGAGGGUGGACGGCCACAUUGGGACUGAGAUACGGCCCAGACUCCUACGGGAGGCAGCAGUGGGGAAUAUUGCACAAUGGGCGGAAGCCUGAUGCAGCGACGCCGCGUGGGGGAUGACGGCCUUCGGGUUGUAAACUCCUUUCGACCGCGAGGAAGCCGCCUGGUUGGAAGGGUGGUGACGGUAGUGGUAGAAGAAGCACCGGCUAACUACGUG